AGUGAACGCUGGCGGUAGGCCUAACACAUGCAAGUCGAACGGCAGCACAGUAAGAGCUUGCUCUUACGGGUGGCGAGUGGCGGACGGGUGAGGAAUACAUCGGAAUCUACUUUUUCGUGGGGGAUAACGUAGGGAAACUUACGCUAAUACCGCAUACGACCUACGGGUGAAAGCAGGGGAUCUUCGGACCUUGCGCGAUUGAAUGAGCCGAGGUCGGAUUAGCUAGUUGGCGGGGUAAAGGCCCACCAAGGCGACGAUCCGUAGCUGGUCUGAGAGGAUGAUCAGCCACACUGGAACUGAGACACGGUCCAGACUCCUACGGGAGGCAGCAGUGGGGAAUAUUGGACAAUGGGCGCGAGCCUGAUCCAGCCAUACCGCGUGGGUGAAGAAGGCCUUCGGGUUGUAAAGCCCUUUUGUUGGGAAAGAAAAGCAGCAGGUUAAUACCCCGCUGUUCUGACGGUACCCAAAGAAUAAGCACCGGCUAACUUCGUG
RNAcentral lists this ribosomal RNA (492 nucleotides) under uncultured bacterium. RNAcentral's name for it is "partial 16S ribosomal RNA". It matches the Rfam family "Bacterial small subunit ribosomal RNA", at positions 29 to 507 of the family's 1533-position model. The record is from RNAcentral.